AACUGUUCGUGGGAUUUCUCUAAACUCUUUGCAUCUCAUCGCCUCUCACUCUCAUUUUUUUGUAUUUUCUCAGAUCUCAAACUAAAAUCAGUCAAAUGGAAGAUGAUGACAUUGUAAUUGCGGUUUUAUACAAUGGAACAUUGGUACAAAAUGAUAGUGGUGAUUGGGAAUAUCGAAAUGGUAAAAAUGUAAUGGUUUCCGUCGGCAAGAGAUGCACAAAAUCAGAGUUAGAGGACUGUGGCAUAUUUACACUCAAGACCAUCGAAUUCUUACAUGCUAGAUUACCAUUGACAUUCACACAAGAUAACAUGGAGUUCUUUAGGAAGAAGUAUGCAUAUGAGGUUUACAACAAAGAACUUAGCAUAUGAGCUGCGUGGUGAUGCUUUUUUCUUUCCUUUUUUUCAUGUUUAUAGAUGCAUAUUAUUUAUUAUAUUUGACUUUUAAUUGUAAAUAUAAUGGUGGCUUAUAAUGUUCAUUUAACAAAGAUAACAAUGUGGUAUUGAUGUAAUGAUAAGUAAUUGACCU
Molecule: long non-coding RNA, 525 nt
Organism: Ziziphus jujuba (common jujube)
Lineage: Eukaryota; Viridiplantae; Streptophyta; Magnoliopsida; Rosales; Rhamnaceae
Exons: 2
Source: RefSeq, a predicted model, not a curated record